This 3336-nucleotide unclassified non-coding RNA is filed under the name Leishmania donovani. Its description in RNAcentral is "gene:LdHU3.35.6660(CDS-product:hypothetical_prote in_conserved)". The record is from RNAcentral. Lineage: Eukaryota; Euglenozoa; Kinetoplastea; Trypanosomatida; Trypanosomatidae.
UGCGUGCAUGUGUGUUUUCGGUGCUGUGUUGUCUUCUCUCCCUCCGGUGCACCAUCCUGCCUCCCAUUUCAGUGUGUGACCUGCUCUCAGCGAUCACAGUGCUGGAAGGAUGCACUGUGGCCCGCGUGGAAUCUUGCAAGGUAGCGCAGGGGCCUUGACACCCACGGUGUACGCUGCGCUCACCUCGAAGCGGUGUGUCUCGAUUGGUGGGCGCGCCAGUCCUCUCGGCUUCUCCACGCCGCCGGACAGGCAUCCCCGCAUCAAGCAGGUAGGGACCGGCGUCAUUGCACAGCACGUCCCUGGCACCACGAAGCUCCGCUACACGAAUCGAAAAGGGCGCACUUUCACCUUUUCGAUACCGGUAGCGCAGCUCACCCAUCCUCCUGUGGUGCGGCGGGGUGCAGCGAGGGAUGGGUGGCAUGAAAUCGACACGAGCUUCAGUGAUGUUGGCGAUCUCGAAGAUGAUAUGCCAAGCGAAGUAGACGAAUGCCUUGCGGCCGCCUCUGUUGCCGGCGAUGAGGGCCUUGUGGAGCUGAACCAAGAGCAGCUGCGGGCAUUGCAACAGGCGUUUGUGCGACUGUGCAAAGACUAUGUGCUCAUGGACACCAGCGGCAUGAAGACGUCGAUGAUGUACAGCGAGCUGAACAACGGUCCUGACUACGAGCUCUUCGAUCGAAAGACGCGCCGUCGCCGACACUGGCUCGCUAUACGGCAUCGCUACGAGGACGUCAAGGAACUGCUGUGGCCCUCAGACGCUGCAGCCAAUGAUGGCGACGCGCGAGCUGCAUCCGUCGAGGACACCGAGCGUGAACAGCAAUGUUCGCUGGCAGACGAGUCGCUGCCGGUGUUACCGAUCGCGGACAUGAUGGAGGCGCUCACAUGGUUGGAGGCGGCUUCGACGUUUGCGGUUCGGAAGCACCGGCCCUUCGACACCUCUAACGCUUCUGACUUUGCGCCCUUGGACCUGUCGAGGGAGGUGCGCAUCGUCGCCUCGUGUGUCCGCGCUGCAGGGUUGUCCAACCUCCUCCAGAGCGUUGGACAGGGGGCGGCAGGUGAGCCACGCGGAGACGCGGCGGACACCGUGGCUGAUCGCUUCAUAUCUCUCGGUGCGUUGUGCGCGAACCACGGCGUGCCCUUGUCGGCCGCCUUCGCUCCGUCGGUGUCUACCUCCUGCGAUGCGGCGGCCUCGCCCACCACCGCUGCCGUCGCCUCCGUGCAGGCGUGGCUCUCCUCGAUUCCUGUGCUGUCUCGCGUGAAAGACGCGGUUCGGGUGAUCGGAGUCAUGCAGAUCUGCGGGCAAGGGAAAGGUGAUGGCGCAGCUGCUGAGCUCUUGCGCUUCAGUGACGCCGAUGGCGCCGUCGUGCGGGAAGCGCUGCUCGACGCGUUGUGCCGGGUCGUGCCUGCCUCUCUCUUCUCCGACGCUGCGGCCCUCGAGAACGUCGAUGAAGCAGAACUGUGCGUCUUGCUGCGGUACGUGACUGAGAUACAGGAGCAGAAUGCCGCUUUCUUUCAAGCGAUGGGCGGCAGCGAAGCGACGUCCAGGCCGGAGCGCGCGGCGACGACUGAGGGUCGACGCGUGUUGCGGCACUUCACGCGACUGGUGCUUGCACGAUGCCGCCGCCUUUUGUACGAUCACGAUGGCCCUCCGGCCACCCUCUUAAGCGGCGACGCGGAGAACAUUCCUUUCGUGGACUUGCAGUCGUAUGCCGAUCACAACCACCCGGAGGUGCGCGUGCAUCAAAAGAUCGGCCGCGCGAACGCGCAGGGGCUUCGGUACGCGCGCCUGCAGUCCAGGGCAUCCACGACGAUGGCAGAGCUCCUUGGUCGGCUGGAAAGCGCCAACCAGCGAAUGGUAGCCGGCGCGCAGGGUCUGCGGUGCGACCUCCUCCGGCACGUCGCCCAGAAGGCAGCCCUCGGCAAAAGCAAGUUAACGCUCGAGGAUGUGACACGCGCGUUGCCGCUGCUGGCAGCGCUAAUGGGCAAGACAUCGGAGCAGCAGGUUAAGUCCACCUACGAGCGCCUGCUGACGGCGAUGUCGACCACGAUAGGUGUCGCGCUGCAGCAGCCGCAGAAGCCCGCGUGCAUUCUCGCCCUCCUCGAGGGCCUCGCCGGCUGUCACUACACGCCGAGCUCCUACAAGCUGCUGGAAAUGGUAAUGCUCCGGAUGAUGAUGCGCGGCGCCUUUACGCUUAGCGACGCCGGUCGCUGCCUCACCGCCAUGCUGCAAGUGGUUGGCCCACAGAACGUUUCCCAGUCGGUGAAGCAAGCCAUCGCCAUGCGCGUGGUGGCUGCGGUGGAUGCGAGGUCAGACAGCACUGCGGCGGAUGUGCUGGCGGUACUCCGGGCGCUGCGCUACAGCUAUUAUUCGUCGUUUGCUUCUCUCGUGUGUCUCGUGUCGAAGUCGCCGCUCAUGGGAAACACAGCGAACUGGCAGCCGUUGGAGCACGUGCGUUAUGCUGUGCUGCUGGCUGCUGCCGCCGCGGCGAUCGAGACGGAGGCGAACUCUGAACUUGGUAAUGCUGUGUCCACCACCGCGCGGGAGCUGCUUCUGCUUGGACUCUCUCCGACGCACCCGCCUUCUGCAGUGCCGCCACGGUCGCCAGCGUGUGUAGGGGAGGACGCAUAUCAGGAGUGUGUGACUGCGUGCGCUGCGCUAGAUGUAAGCCCUGCACCCCCGACUCUGACGGCGUGGGCCCACGCAGACAUUGACGCGCGCCCCGUGCAUUCCUUGUGCACUCCUGCGUUGGCAGUGAGCACGAUGGAGGCUCUCGAGGCCAUGAACCUCGCCCCAUCCCGGUGGUACAGCGCAUACGGCAACUACUUGACUGACGCCUUGGAGCAUAUGCAGCGACGGCCACUGCUUGAGGACGACGCGGAGACGGCGGUCAGGUGCUUGUACCUCCAACAGGCGCCCGGGGCCGUGACCAGGCUAGCGUCAGUGCUGCUGGCGCACGAAGUGGAUCGUCUUGACCAAACGCUCACCCGCGGCGCCGUAGUCCACGACGGCACUCGUGCGCCGCCGGUGUGCACCUUUCAGCAGAGGUCACUCGAGCGGCAAACAUCAGAAGGUGAGACGGAGGCCCGUCUUCUACGAUACUGCGCAGCGCUGCAGCACGCAUCCAGGGAAGCGCUGAGCACCGGGUCCGCAGAGGUAUAGCACAUCCCGUCCGUAGCAUUUGCGAUCUCUGCUGUGCCCGGUCCACGCCCUUGCCGUUGCACUCUGCAUGCCACCGAUCACUCCUCCUCUCUCCGCAGCGCUGGGUUGUUGACCCGAGCUGCACCCCCUCCCUCAUCUACAUCAUCACAGCUUGUGUCUCCUAAGGCAAGUGCAAAAGU